GGUUGUUUGGCCGAGCGGUCUAAGGCGCCUGAUUCAAGCUCAGGUAUCGCAAGAUGCGUGAGUUCGAAUCUCACAGCAACCA
This 82-nucleotide transfer RNA is filed under the name Zygosaccharomyces rouxii. Its description in RNAcentral is "tRNA-Leu (CAA) (tRNA-Leu-CAA-1 1 to 10)". It matches the Rfam family "tRNA". From Rfam's summary of the family: Transfer RNA (tRNA) molecules are approximately 80 nucleotides in length. Their secondary structure includes four short double-helical elements and three loops (D, anti-codon, and T loops). The record is from RNAcentral. RNAcentral also lists the same sequence under 1 other name. Lineage: Eukaryota; Fungi; Ascomycota; Saccharomycetes; Saccharomycetales; Saccharomycetaceae.